This is a long non-coding RNA of Ctenopharyngodon idella (grass carp), 1731 nucleotides long. RefSeq lists it as uncharacterized. Lineage: Eukaryota; Metazoa; Chordata; Actinopteri; Cypriniformes; Xenocyprididae. The record is from RefSeq and is a predicted model, not a curated record. The transcript has 9 exons.
AAAGAUUCCAUUCAAACCCAGGAAGAAACCCAAGUGUGUGCUUUUGUGCCUGAGGAUCCAUCGGAUGAGCUUCCACACACAUCCAGUGUAGAUCCGACAGGCACAGAUCCUCUGGAGUCAGAGCCAACAGACAGAUCCUUUGAAUCUCUUUAUGAUGUGGGAAAGAAACUGAAAUCGAGACGCGGUGUCAGUUAUCAUGUAGGAUUUCGAAACUCUGAUGACAAACGAGUGAUCAUCAAAUUUAUUAAGAAGAACCGGUCUGAGAAACUGGUGGAAUUGCCUGGGUAUUCCAUACCUUUAAGUCAAGAGGCAGCUGCAAUGUUGAUGGUGCAAAAGCCUCCAACUAGCGAGCAUCUCGUACAAUUAUAUGAUCACUUUGUCAUGGAAGAUCAAGACAUCUUGAUUAUGGAGUAUUCACAUUCCUACAUCACCCUGUUUGAGUAUGUCCUACGAAACAGAGGUAACCUGUCUGAAACCGCGGUGAGACACAUCAUCCAGGAGCUCAUUGUUGCUCUUCAGCACUGCGUGAGUCGUGGUGUUUUUCAUGACACGCAUAUGAAAAGCAUACUUGUCUGCACAAAAACCCUGCAAGUAAAGUUGAUGGACUUUAGAGGCGCACUGAUCGUCGAAGAAAGACGAGAAGACGAACCUAUACUAAUUGGGGCAAUCAGAAAGUAUGCUGAAUGGGCAACAAUUGACGACAUAUGCAAAGUGCUGGAUGUGCUGGUCCCAAGAAUAAGUCGUUGGUUUUGGAUAAGACCACGCGUGUCCAAAGAAUGUCGGGAUCUUUUUGAGCGCCUUCAUGACAGAGAGUCACGGAUGACGUUACAGGCUAUUUUGGAUCAUGACUGGUUUAAAAGAAAAACCAAAGCAUAAGAAAAGUUCCCCUGCGUCGGCAGCUCCUCCACAGGGCCGAUAGCUCAGCUGCAGGGUCAUCAGCUGGGGAUCCCGGGGACGGUUGACGUCUUUAACCCCGGGACGUCUCCCUUGCACCCCUGCAUGAUCAGUGAGGGACCCCGGGGGCGAUUCACGCCUUUAACCCCCGGACGUGUCCAAAGAAUGCCUGGAUCUUUUUGAGCGCCUUCAUGACGGAGAGUCACGGAUGACGUUACAGGCUAUUUUGGAUCAUGACUGGUUUAAAAGAAAGCCGAAGCAUAAGAAAACUAUAGCCUAUGGCCAUGGCUUAUAGCUCAGCGCAGAGUCAUCAGCCAGGGACCCCGGGGACGGUUCACGCCUUUAACCCCGGGACUUCUCCCUUGCACCCCUGCAUGAUGACACUGAUGGCAACUGUCCUCAACUCGUAUCCUGUCUGCGUGCCUCCAACAUCUCCACAAACCUAUUCAGGACAUUAUCACGCCCCACCGAUAGCGGCCUUGUGGACAGGAUGUGCUGGAGGCUUACAUUUGGACUGCGUUCUUCCAGGCCAGACCACCGUGUUUCAGACAAGCAUCAUGGCAAGCCCAGCCAUUUUCCUGAAUUACUGUGGACAGUGGAUUUCACACAGCUUCAUUGUCCGCACAAUGUAACGCCACGCCUUGUACUUGCCUGGAAGCUGGCUUUGGUCAAUCCUUCCCUAGUGAAAAAAUAGUAAAGCACAAUUUAUUUGAAUGUAACUAAAAGUAUUUGUGGCACACUGUAAAUUGGUAUACUUAAAGUCUGUUUUAACUAAUUUUGUAGUAAAUGCAUUUUAGUUGUCCAAAAGCAAACUAAAGUUGUAUUACACACUUGUUU